GACGAACGCUGGCGGCGUGCUUAACUCAUGCAAGUCGAACGGAAAGGCCCUGCUUUUGUGGGGUGCUCGAGUGGCGAACGGGUGAGUAACACGUGAGUAACCUGCCCUUGACUUUGGGAUAACUUCAGGAAACUGGGGCUAAUACCGGAUAGGAGCUCCUGCUGCAUGGUGGGGGUUGGAAAGUUUCGGCGGUUGGGGAUGGACUCGCGGCUUAUCAGCUUGUUGGUGGGGUAGUGGCUUACCAAGGCUUUGACGGGUAGCCGGCCUGAGAGGGUGACCGGCCACAUUGGGACUGAGAUACGGCCCAGACUCCUACGGGAGGCAGCAGUGGGGAAUAUUGCACAAUGGGCGGAAGCCUGAUGCAGCAACGCCGCGUGCGGGAUGACGGCCUUCGGGUUGUAAACCGCGUUCGCCUGUGACGAAGCGUGAGUGACGGUAAUGGGUAAAGAAGCACCGGCUAACUACGUG
Molecule: ribosomal RNA, 468 nt
Filed under: uncultured bacterium
Lineage: Bacteria
Description: partial 16S ribosomal RNA
Rfam family: Bacterial small subunit ribosomal RNA
Source: RNAcentral